GAACGUGUCUAGAAGCCAGUCGCUGCGAAUAUUCUCUGACGAUUAGCUGACAGAAUCUUUUUGGUGCUCAACCCUGCGUAUCCAGAGUCACAGAGGGGCAUCCGCCGUAAUUUUAACUAAGAUCCUUACCUCUUUCAGUAAUUUCGCAUCAAGAAAGUUUUCCAUCCUCGGGCCGCCACCGAAAAAACCCACAAAUGGCUAUAAAACCCGCCAGCGCCAAAAUUUCAUCCGAUCCCCAACCUCUUUCAUUCCGAUUCGAUCAAAUUUCUAUCUCCGAUCUUCAAUUCGAGAUUCCAAUCGUUCGAUUCGAUCUUUUUCCUACCUGUUGAUCCCAAUUUCAUUCCUCGCCGUGCCUCCAAUCCGAUUCUCUAGGGUUAGGGUUUUGAAUUUUCCAGAAAAGUUUUCGAUCCGAGAAAGGGUUUUUUCCUGAUCUGUGAAAAAAUUGUUCGCUGAUAGUUUUUCGCUGUCCCAGUUGUUAUGGGUGGUUCAAAAGUUUCCAGAUUUAUCUGAAAAUUUGGGAAAGUUUUAGGUUUUUUGGAAGUUUCCAAUUUUAUAUUGUUUUUGUCUGUAAUUGCUCGUAAGUUAGUAUUUAAAAUUAAAAUUGUAGUAAUUUUUGGGUUUUGACGUUUGAGAGGCUGAUUAUUUGGUGCUUUUGUCAGUUGCUGGAACUCCAUAUUUUCAGGAGAAAAUGACAAACAAACGGCCUUUCCAUGGUGACGAUUCUUAUGAGGUUGCUUGGAAGCACCCAAGACAAUUGGAAUACGCAAAUGAGCCUGCUCCAAUUGUGGAUACUUUUCCUUUUAGUAGCGCCCCCCAGAAAUUUCAAAUUUCAGAUGGUGAAGGUGAUGGGAGUUUUAGUACAUGUCCAGAUGAAGGAGGGUUUGCAAGUGACUUGGGAACUGAAAUC
Molecule: non-coding RNA, 907 nt
Organism: Malus domestica (apple)
Lineage: Eukaryota; Viridiplantae; Streptophyta; Magnoliopsida; Rosales; Rosaceae
Source: RefSeq, a predicted model, not a curated record